GACGAACGCUGGCGGCGUGCCUAAUACAUGCAAGUAGAACGCUGAAGAGAGGAGCUUGCCCUUCUUGGAUGAGUUGCGAACGGGUGAGUAACGCGUAGGUAACCUGCCUUGUAGCGGGGGAUAACUAUUGGAAACGUUAGCUAAUACCGCAUAACAAUGGAUGACACAUGUCAUUUAUUUGAAAGGGGCAAUUGCUCCACUACAAGAUGGACCUGCGUUGUAUUAGCUAGUGGGUGAGGUAAUGGCUCACCUAGGCGACGAUACAUAGCCGACCUGAGAGGGUGAUCGGCCACACUGGGACUGAGACACGGCCCAGACUCCUACGGGAGGCAGCAGUAGGGAAUCUUCGGCAAUGGGGGCAACCCUGACCGAGCAACGCCGCGUGAGUGAAGAAGGUUUUCGGAUCGUAAAGCUCUGUUGUAAGUCAAGAACGGGUGUGAGAGUGGAAAGUUCACACUGUGACGGUAGCUUACCAGAAAGGGACGGCUAACUACGUG
RNAcentral lists this ribosomal RNA (497 nucleotides) under uncultured bacterium. Its description in RNAcentral is "partial 16S ribosomal RNA". It matches the Rfam family "Bacterial small subunit ribosomal RNA", at positions 28 to 507 of the family's 1533-position model. The record is from RNAcentral.